AUGGUCUUAGUUAAAAAUUCAUUUUAUUGUAAUCAUUCUUCACGGAGAUUCGAUGGGCGGAUCGGGAAGCCCAAGCUCCAUCUACCCCCCAGCUUCGGGAUCGGCCACGUACAGAAAACAAAGAGACGGGAAGAAUGGCAGCAGCGACGAGAUACGAGAGGAAACAGGAGGAAGAACGGCCACAUAGAGAAGGGAAGGGAAGGGAAGAUGGAUCAGGAGGAGGAAGCGGCUAAGGCGUGUGCCUCCAAGUAAGGAUUGGUGAUCGUGUAGCCGCCGUCCACCACAAGGUUAUGCCCGUUGACGUAUCUGGACUCGUCGCUGGCCAGGUAGAGCACCGCCUCAGCGAUGUCCUGCGCCUUCAACGCCGCGGCUCUCAGGGCGGAAGCCUUCUCCGAGACGUCUUCAGUGGCUCUGGUGUCCAACCCGAACGCCUCGGAGGCCAAGGACGAUGCCAAAAGAUGAGGGGAGACGCAGUUCACCCGCACGCCGGAGCGGCCCAGCUCCACGGCGGCGUCCCUCGUCAACCCCACCACGGCGUGCUUCGAAGGUCCGUAGGGAGUCACCAUCAUGCCGGUAAUGCCCAAUAUGCUGGCAGUGUUGAUGAUACUGCCCCGCCCGGCGGUGGCCAUGGCUCGCCCCGCGUGCUUGAUGCCCAGGAAGACGCCGAUCACGUUCACGGCGAACAUUUUCUCGAAGUCCGAUCUGUCGUAGCCGAGGUGGGGCCGGAACGCUGUGGCCAUGCCAGCGUUGUUGAACAUAACGUCCAGCCGGCCGUGAGAUUUCUGGCUAGUCUCCACGGUGGCCUGGACGUCGGCCUCGGAGGAGACAUCGCAGUGGACGUAGGAGGCCUCGCCGCCGUCGCCGACGAUUUCCCUGCAGACCUCCUGGCCCUUCUCGUCCUGGAUGUCGGCGACGACGACCUUGGCACCGUGCCGAGCGAAAAGCCUGGCGGUGCUCUCGCCGAUGCCGUUGGCGCCGCCGGUAAUGAUGGCCACCUUCCCCUCCAGCCUGCGACCAAAACGACGGCGGUGAGGCAAAAUCGUCCUUAAAUCAAAGGGAAAAUCGAGGACAAAGGCAGAAGGUGAAUCAUUGCACGCCGCGUACCGCCUCGCCAGGGACGCCAGCACCGGGGAGCUCUUCAUGACGUCGAUGCGAUCUUCCGGCGUCGGGGGUCGAUGAAUUCAAGACAAAGUUGAUGAAGGCUGCCACCGUGAUCUGGGGUUGUGCUGCCUUCCAUUUAUAUAGAAAAAGUUUUAAGACAGUUAGCACUAUUGCUGGUAGCCAGACACCGAAAAGUCCUGGAGGGUAAAAGUUCCCGACUGCCCGAAUAAAAGUCAAAGCUCUCUUCGGGGAAUCUUCGGGCCAGGUUGUUCACCGGUUAGAAUUCACAGGGUCAACCCUGCCUCAGUUCCAGAUCCUGGUUCGUCGGACUGGGUCCUAGCCAUUCGAUUCUUCUGGUCGAGUAACGUCUAGCUAGGGUAGAAGCUUCGGCGGAGUCAUUAGAAAGGACUAGGAAUUACGGCGAGAUCUCGACCAAACUCUCACGCCAUGAUCAAAGGCAAGUCAAGAUCACUAGUACAAAGGCUAUGCCGGGGAAAGAAUGGAAGCGCGAUGGUUGCUUCGCUCUUCUCCACAUAACGAAGUUAGAUCGGUGGGGCAGAUCUUCUCCCUUCUUUACAUGCAUGUGCUGUGCGGGGCUACUCGUCAGUUGAUGGAUCAAUGAUUAAGGCCCCGCAAGGUGAUAAGACAGUGAUGUCUUACCAACUUGUCAACAUUUGGUGGCCAAGAAAGUUAUAGAUAGGCUCGCCUGGCUGCAGGAGUUGAUGGGCUAUCAUCCAUUCCAUUGGAGAUGGAAGUGGACAUCUGUGAAGGGUCAAAUCAUAAGAGGCUGCAGUACACGAGGUAGGUAACCAUAUAAAGGGACAAAAUCAUACUGAAAUUAAUGUUAGUUCUUUAUUUAGCAUAGGAAUAUAUCAUGCUAAAUUUUGAGCGUAUUUAAAUGAAAAAUUACUUAUACACCCUGGCACAAACUAUAUAUAUCAAGAUAUGCCACUUUAUACACUAAAGAAACGUGUAAAUAUAAUAUAGUAAGAUCCUCUAAUAAGAUAUUCCACAUUACAUAUUGACACAUUAUAUUUAAUGAAAUAUUUUAUUUAAUAUCAUACUAUCUUUAAUUACCAUAAUAUUACCAUGUGUAGAGUAAUUUUGUAAUGUAACUUCUUUUAUAGUGAAAUAUUAAUCUUAGUAUACUCAAUGAAGUAAAACUCAAAUUUUCACAUGUAAACACAUUAACCUUGACAUACUUUGGUAUUUCACAAUGCAAACUUCAUAUAUUUUGAAAUACCAACCUUAAUAUAUUACACCAUAUUCAUAUAUAGUUUAUUAUUUCACAACAUACGCUUAAUAUAAUUAAAUAUCUAUUGGUUCCAAAGAAGGUUAUAAUUAAUGUCAAAAGAAAAGACGUGAAUUUGACUUUUCGUGAUCUAUAAGAGUUUUCUAAUCUUUUCAUAUCUCCUCACAUAGAGAAUUUAUAGUGGUUCAGUCUACUUACCUACUUCACUAUCUAAAGACCACCUCUUUAUGUUUUAUUAAUUCCCUUUUGAUAUUACGUUGAGUAUAAUUGCUUCAUGUAGUUUUCACUAUAUUCAACAGGUCUAUCCAGGUUAAAAUUUUCUCCCCAAAACCUUCUUUGAGAUCCAUGACCAUGCGCCAACCACUCUUCAUUGCCAACACAAUAAUCUCUUCUAAAUUAAUGGCUCUAGAUCAACUUGAGUAGACAAAGUUACUGCUCAACUCUAGUGAACGAUUUAAACUACAUAAUGUGUAUGAAUUUACUGCUAUAAAUCAAGUAUUAAAACUAUUAACAAUUGUAAGAUACUUUCAUCACUAUCUUGCUCAUUGCAAUUGUGGUAAAUAAAUUGCUUAAAAUCAAAUUUUGUAGUAGUUUCAUUCUUUGAGCAUUCAGUAUAAAUUUAAUGCUUUAACAAUAAAAUAGGUUUUAGAACUAAAUUAUUGACUCAUUAAAAUUUUUUUUGACAAAUGAAGGCAAUUAAAAUAAAAGUAGUGACUAAAAAGUGGAAGAAUUCUAUUUAAUGUUAAAUUUAUAACAUUAAGAUAUGUUUCUUGGAAAGUAUUUCAAGUCCCUAGUGUGACAACUAGAAGUUCAUUUCUGAACAUCUCUAGUCAUUGCAUAUAAACAUUCAAGAAUAAAGAACAAACCCCAUAAGAAAGGGACUCCACAGUAGACUCUAGGAUGAAGAGAGGGAGAGCUACAGUGACCUAACUACCCUUAUAAUGAUCUUACACAUUAGUUGAGAGCCCAAGACACGAGAAUAAUUUUUGCUGCCUAACACAUUAGUUUUCUAGAUUGAAACAUAUUAAAGAGCUCCCAAAUUAAUCUAGGAAAGAUUCGUCUUAAUGAACUAUAGAUGGAUCCCACUUUGGCAAUCAUUGGAAAAGUCUAACCUAAAUAAAAUUUAGAAAAGUUUAAUUGCUCAAAUUAUCUAAUGUAUUACCACACCAGUUGGUUGUGCCAUGAGCUGAAUUAUAUAGUGGCUGAACUACAUGGUGCAUUUAUUAUCAAGCUUGGUACUAUCUUGAUAUGUCUACUAUAUUGGUUGUGUCAUGCUCUUUUUCUAAUGAUCGAUGGAGGAAUAAUGAUAUUGUGAUAGACUAUUUAGGAUGAAGGCAUUUAGCUAAGUGUUGAAGUGAUAAUGUCAUGAAAGACUAUUGUCAGCUUGACCCAAAAAAAACAUAAUGGCACAUUAAUUGCUUGAAAGCAAUCCAACUAUAUUUACAUUAGAGCAAGAGCAUGAUACUAGUAAUGUUAGUUAUCCAAUAUUAAGUUCAUUAGUAUAUAAUUUAAGGAGUCCAUCAUGUUUAAUAAUCAUAAAUCAUGCAACUCUAAAUAUGCUUGAAUUUAUAUGCCCAUUUAAAUUAUCACAUCAUGUUUAAUAUUAAUUAUUUUGUAUGAUGUUUAAUUAUAAUAGUUAUAAUUAUCACCUUGAUCAGUUAAAUAAUAUAACUGACCAUGUUUUAUUGUGGACAUAUUCUAUGAAUAAUUGUGUUAUUCUUAUUUCCACUGCACCUAUUCGAAUUAGAUAGAGUUAGACUCAAAAUAUUGAAUUAGAAAUGAUAAUCACUUUAUUACUUAACUAGAUUUAUUCACCCUUCCUCUAGAUGCUAUCAAUAGUUGUCUUUUAAAAUCGUCACUGAAUAAUUUUUUUAUUGAUAAUUCACAAAAACUUGUAAGGAUUUAAUGUUUGUAGUGAUUUAUAAUCUAUUAGCCAAUGUUAGAUACAAAGCCCAUCUCCUAUCAAGCACAAUCAAAACUUUUGGAAAAUCUUUUCCCUUCCUUUUAUUUUGAUUUCUAAAGAGUUUUCUCAACCAUUAGAAUAUAUUUUUGAAACAAGUUAUCGAGUUGAUUUAGAAAACUUGGUGAAAUCAAUGCAUGCUAUCACUAGCAAUUUAGUUUAUUUGUUAAAUUGAUCAGAAAAAUGAGCAUUACUCAAUUAAAUCAAGGCUAAAAAUAGAAACAUUCAUUGUUGGUUUAGCUUUAGUAACAUUAUAGUUGAAGAGGGAUGAAUUGGAUUUUUAAUAUUCCUGAUAAGAAAUUCAACAUAACCAAGUGUGAUCUGCACAAAGGUUUAUAGUGAUUUAAUAAAUCAACUUCUCUCUAUGAGGAAAAAAUUCUUAAAUUCCGCAAAUUUACAAGUAAAACACAGAAUAGAGAAUUCAGGAAACCUCCACUAACUAUACAAGCCUAAGUGAUCCUAUGUGUUGGAUUAUAUGUCUUAAACGUCUACUUCAUGUACAAUUUUAUGUUGAAUAUUUUGGCUUCCGAAAGUUUGUGUUAAAGAUUAAGUUUAGUCAAGCUUUAAGAGCAUUAAUAACAAAGAAUAUUUUUGCCCAAUCAGUCCAGAUAUGAUUGAGCUUGAAAAACCUUUCUCUUGAAUGAGGGAAGCCUCAAAUGCUUAACAUAGUUGAUGAGGGCUUGAGCAUAAGUUUAUUGAUCUUUGGGCACUCAACAAUGACGAUUUUGCUUUGACUCCUUAGACCAAGAAGGUGAGGGUGUGAGAAACCGGGGAAUUAUUUAAAUCUUCUUGUACACACAUCUUAUUACACCAUAUUGGUCUUCUCAUCAACUAUUUGAGCUCACUUUAUUGGGCCAUACGCAUGAUUAGAAAUCUACAAAAAAUAAAAUUGUUAAUCUUGUAAAAUUGAUAAAAAAACUUAAUUCAUUAAAUUUAACACAUUGUUUAUUUCAUCUUGUUCCUCUUCUAAAGGGCUUUAUAAUAAUCUGAUGUAUAGUAAUAUUGUUAACUUAUUGCAACUAAAAAUUAGCUAACUCAUUUGGCUGGAAAUAUGGAUCAUUUUUCCUUGAUAUAUUUCCACCAAAUUGCCUAUUAUAAUUGGUGAUAAUUUUUAUAUGAAACAUAAUAAGAAAUUAUAAUCCAUAAAUUUCCCUACUAUCCUUUGUCAACAUCAAAAAAAUUUUAGGCUCUCAAAGCCAAUAAGUUAACCCUUGCAAAGGUCAUUCAUCAACGAUCCACUAUUUUGAAUUAAAUAUUUAAUUAAAAAUAAAAAUGUUAAUAAGAGUGUUUUCUUGUACUAGAAAAAAUUUAAAAUAGUGUAUAUGAACAACAUGACCAAGCAUAGAGGGAGGAUUCAUGCUUGUGGUCAUGAUGCUCAUAUAAAAACCAUUAUUCUAGCAAAAGCUGAUGAAAAGUCUCCCCAUUGUUAUUAUAUAGAGAUUAGUAAUUGGUUUUUCUAAGAACAUAACAUUUCAGUAGCGUGAGUCUAUAUUUCUAAGAAAUGUUAAAGGGUACUAUGUCCCUCAUCUUCCAAUGCUGAAGUGGUUUUUGGCGGCACACACCAUGAGAGUACUAGAUAAAAGAAUACCUAUCUUUGAGUCACAUUGAGUACCAUAUGUUCAAUACGUGGGGUAUUUCUCACCACACUCGGUCAAUUCAUGGCCUUGAUCGCAAGAAAAAGGGCACGCAUACAGUGCUGCCCCAUAUUAGCUAUUAUGAUCCAGUCUUAGCUGCCCCAAUUGCAGUUCUGUGGCUGUAGAGUAUAAUUCCUUGCAAAUCUGAUCUAAUCAAAUCUGCAGUAAGCUUUUCCCCUUGUCUGAACAUUGUUCACCAGUUCUCUAGUGGGUUCAAUUCCAUGCUUCAAUACUAUUGAAUCUUGAAAAGUCGUUCAUUUCGUUCCUUACAAUUUUGCAUUAUCAGUCGUGUUCCACCCAUUUUAUCUACUUUUUGUUUGAGCUCAUUGGAUGCCUCUAUGGAUCAAGCACUCUCUUUUCCAAAGUUGUUUUUUAAAAUUCAAGGCGACUUUUUUGCUGCCCAAGUUAAAAAAAUGCUGUCAUGGUUAUCCUUUCUGUGUUUCUAUUUUUGCCCAAAAACAAAGAAUGUCUCUUUCAAUAGGCUUCUUAUUAAUGAACGCAUGUGCUUCAGCCGUUGUUCUUCCAUCGUCUUGCCAUGAAAGCAUCUAACUCGUCAUCGAUCAAUCUCCUCAUUUCAGACUUCAGGUGGUUUCAAGAGGAUUCAUCCAAGGUAGGGAUGGACUCCACGCAGCCUCCGAGUCAUUGACUUUUGGGGGUUCCUUCAGAAGCUCCAUAGCAUAAGGGCCCUCCCUCCUAAUGGGACUAAAGAGGUAAGACUUCUAGUGGUUCCUCCUAGAGGGACCAUCUUUAUUACCUAUCUUUAGAAAGAAAUAUUGGAUAUAAUUGUGACGUGCAAGCAUUUUCUUGUCUGAUAUUUAAAUGAAUCAUGAUAAGCUUGUGUGAUACCCCCCCAUCUGGUCUUUAAGCUCCGACUUUCAGCUUUACAACGGGAUGUCACUGUUUCGUUGACGGGACUUCGUCGAGCCAACUUGGCAACGGUCAACCAUCCCUAAUGAAGUUCGUGAAUUUGGAAUUUACAACUUGUCGGUCUAUGAAAUUAAAUAAAUCUUUGAUUGACUGAUUCAAGAAUAGAAUGACGAUCAGAGUGCAACGCUGGUGAGGGAAACAACGAAGUUAUCGAACAUGACGCCAGGCCGAGGCGUUGACGACUUCUGCCAGACGUCGACGCCUCAGCGGACGUAGGACCUGGUCGUCCUUGUCGUUCUGGAUAUCAGUGGCAUCCACCUUGGCACCGUCUGGAAGUAAGAAAGCGAGCGAGAAUGGUGCCGCCGCCGGCUGGAGGGCGCGUCCCGUCGAGCUAAGAGGAUUAAUCACGUAAACAUGACGGAAUGACGACGUGCCAGCCACUUUUAUGAACAUAUCGUGCAGUCAUUCGUAAAUGAGGAGGAGAUCUUGGGGGAAUCUCGCCGACGAAGUUAUCGCCGGAGGCCGUCCCCCUGAUGACUAGCGGUCCAGUCGAGUGUCACCAGGCACUCCUGCAAGGACGAGUUUGGGAGACAAGAAACGUCGGCUGCUAGAGGGAGUAAUAUAAUUUCAUGCAGUCAUCGUGAAUUGAUCACAAUUAUUCAUGAACAGCCGAAGCGGAAAGCGAAAUGGUCAAACUCCAUGUACUCCGAUCUUCAAGCUCCCCAAGGAACGGACGGAAAACAAAGAGACGGGAAGAAUGUCAGCAGCGACGAGAUACGAGAGGAAACACCAGGAAGAACGGCCAUAAUUGAGAAGGGCAGGGAAGAUUAGAGGGAAAGGAAGACGGAUCAGGAUCAGGAGGAGUAGGCGGCUAAGAGGUGAGCCUCCAAGGAAGGAUUGGUGGUCGUGUAGCCGCCGUCCACCACUAGGUUAUGCCCGUUGACGUAUCU
Molecule: long non-coding RNA, 7764 nt
Filed under: Spirodela polyrhiza (greater duckweed)
Lineage: Eukaryota; Viridiplantae; Streptophyta; Magnoliopsida; Alismatales; Araceae
Description: long non-coding RNA (SPOL_LNC000001)
Source: RNAcentral